Molecule: long non-coding RNA, 1203 nt
Filed under: Cricetulus griseus (Chinese hamster)
Lineage: Eukaryota; Metazoa; Chordata; Mammalia; Rodentia; Cricetidae
Description: lncRNA (ENSCGRG00015030911.1)
Source: RNAcentral
AUUUUUUUUAUUAUUAUUUUAGUUUUUUUUUACUUACCCGCUCAGCCCGGUGCUAUGGAGUCUAGAAGAAAAAGCUGGGUGGUGUUUUUGGAGUUGUUAUUAUAAAAAUAACAGUUUUUUUGUUGUUGUUUUGGUUGUUUAGUUGGGGAAAAAAAUCUGGGGUUAUGUUCUUUUGUUACCUUUUUGUAAGUUACACUCAUGGUAUUUCUGCUCCUUCCACGACUGCAAACUUUCCAGGGUUGGGCCGGCAAAAGGCGGCUUCGCUGUGGACUGUUUACUGCUCUGGAUUUAGCAAUGGUGUGAUCGUCAUUAAGAAACAAAAGGCGAAAACACGGUCAAAUCAAACAAAAGGCAAAAUAGUUCACCAGCCAUCCCCACCAUAAGAAACACCACCGAGUUAACAAAAAUGGCUCCCCUCAUCUGUUGGCCUCUCCUUGGAGUCUGAUGAAGGAUGUUUUGAGAUCAGCGUCUAAUAACUCAAGCCCUAUAGAAGCCGCGUGCUGAUUGGCUGCCGCGCCCUGCCGCCCUGCUCCAGCCAAUUACCUACCCACGGCCAAAUUACAAACCCCGAAAAGAGCCCCAAUAUGAAAUACACCACCACGAAGCCCCAAAGAGGCGGCUGCUUCGCCUCGGCAGCCCGAGAAGAGAGGCCGAGGGGUCUGCAAACAUAUCCACGCGAAGCCGGGGAAGCUUCUGAGUUGAACUCACAAAAUGGAAGCCGAGCGCUGAUUGGCCGCCGCCACUCCCGGACCUUUAAUAAAGAAAGGGGAAGGAAAAUGAUAAAUGCAAAAAAGGGGACUCUCUGUCGCUGGUGGCUGGAGGAAGGAGGGAGGAAGAAGCAUGUGUUCAGGACAAUUACUGGGCGCUCCCCUCCAAAAAUAAAAACAGAAAGAAAAAAAAAAAGAGCUAUCUUCCAUGUCCAGGCGAGGGCUGUAUCCUCCCAAGAAUGUGAAGGCUAACGUGGUUCCAAAUCUUGGUUUCUCCUCCCCAGUACAGCUCCAGGGAGGGAGGGGGUGUGCGGGCCGAAGAGGAAGCGGGAUCGGAGAUACCUCGAUUGCAACUCGUUUGGGGUCGACGUCUGCCGGCCCCAGGCUCCUAGUAUUCAAACACACAAUCGCCCCCUCCAAACCCAGCCCUUUCGCCGAGUCUCCACGCGCCCACCUCCGGUCUGGGCAGUUUGGAAACAGUUUGGGAGGCCCCGGG